This 497-nucleotide ribosomal RNA is filed under the name uncultured bacterium. Its description in RNAcentral is "partial 16S ribosomal RNA". It matches the Rfam family "Bacterial small subunit ribosomal RNA", at positions 28 to 507 of the family's 1533-position model. The record is from RNAcentral.
GAUGAACGCUGGCGGCGUGCCUAAUACAUGCAAGUCGAGCGAACAGACGAGGAGCUUGCUCCUCUGACGUUAGCGGCGGACGGGUGAGUAACACGUGGAUAACCUACCUAUAAGACUGGGAUAACUUCGGGAAACCGGAGCUAAUACCGGAUAAUAUAUUGAACCGCAUGGUUCAAUAGUGAAAGACGGUUUUGCUGUCACUUAUAGAUGGAACCGCGCCGCAUUAGCUAGUUGGUAAGGUAACGGCUUACCAAGGCAACGAUGCGUAGCCGACCUGAGAGGGUGAUCGGCCACACUGGAACUAAGACACGGUCCAGACUCCUACGGGAGGCAGCAGUAGGGAAUCUUCCGCAAUGGGCGAAAGCCUGACGGAGCAACGCCGCGUGAGUGAUGAAGGUCUUCGGAUCGUAAAACUCUGUUAUUAGGGAAGAACAAAAGUGUAAGUAACUAUGCACGUCUUGACGGUACCUAAUCAGAAAGCCACGGCUAACUACGUG